UUAAUGACUCUCGGCAACGGAUAUCUCGGCUCUCGCAUCGAUGAAGAACGUAGCGAAAUGCGAUACUUGGUGUGAAUUGCAGAAUCCCGUGAACCAUCGAGUUUUUGAACGCAAGUUGCGCCCGAAGCCAUUUGGUUGAGGGCACGUCUGCUUGGGCGUCACGU
Molecule: ribosomal RNA, 164 nt
Filed under: Chrysosplenium macrospermum
Lineage: Eukaryota; Viridiplantae; Streptophyta; Magnoliopsida; Saxifragales; Saxifragaceae
Description: 5.8S ribosomal RNA
Rfam family: 5.8S ribosomal RNA
About the family: 5.8S ribosomal RNA (5.8S rRNA) is a component of the large subunit of the eukaryotic ribosome. It is transcribed by RNA polymerase I as part of the 45S precursor that also contains 18S and 28S rRNA.
Source: RNAcentral